Molecule: ribosomal RNA, 107 nt
Filed under: uncultured bacterium
Lineage: Bacteria
Description: partial 16S ribosomal RNA
Rfam family: Bacterial small subunit ribosomal RNA
Source: RNAcentral
GAUGCAGCGACGCCGCGUGAGUGAGGAAGUAUUUCGGUAUGUAAAGCUCUAUCAGCAGGGAAGAAAUGACGGUACCUGACCAAGAAGCCCCGGCUAACUACCGUGCC